RNAcentral lists this ribosomal RNA (238 nucleotides) under uncultured bacterium. Its description in RNAcentral is "partial 16S ribosomal RNA". It matches the Rfam family "Bacterial small subunit ribosomal RNA", at positions 1264 to 1500 of the family's 1533-position model. The record is from RNAcentral.
GGAGCAAAACUCAAAAACUUGUCUCAGUUCGGAUUGUAGGCUGAAACUCGCCUACAUGAAGCUGGAGUUGCUAGUAAUCGCGAAUCAGCACGUCGCGGUGAAUACGUUCCCGGGCCUUGUACACACCGCCCGUCACACCAUGAGAGUUGGCAAUACCCAACGUACGUGAUCUAACCCGCAAGGGAGGAAGCGUCCUAAGGUAGGGUCAGCGAUUGGGGUGAAGUCGUAACAAGGUAUC